RNAcentral lists this ribosomal RNA (932 nucleotides) under Escherichia coli. Its description in RNAcentral is "bacterial SSU rRNA". It matches the Rfam family "Bacterial small subunit ribosomal RNA", at positions 613 to 1533 of the family's 1533-position model. Lineage: Bacteria; Pseudomonadati; Pseudomonadota; Gammaproteobacteria; Enterobacterales; Enterobacteriaceae. The record is from RNAcentral.
CCUGGGAACUGCAUCUGAUACUGGCAAGCUUGAGUCUCGUAGAGGGGGGUAGAAUUCCAGGUGUAGCGGUGAAAUGCGUAGAGAUCUGGAGGAAUACCGGUGGCGAAGGCGGCCCCCUGGACGAAGACUGACGCUCAGGUGCGAAAGCGUGGGGAGCAAACAGGAUUAGAUACCCUGGUAGUCCACGCCGUAAACGAUGUCGACUUGGAGGUUGUGCCCUUGAGGCGUGGCUUCCGGAGCUAACGCGUUAAGUCGACCGCCUGGGGAGUACGGCCGCAAGGUUAAAACUCAAAUGAAUUGACGGGGGCCCGCACAAGCGGUGGAGCAUGUGGUUUAAUUCGAUGCAACGCGAAGAACCUUACCUGGUCUUGACAUCCACGGAAGUUUUCAGAGAUGAGAAUGUGCCUUCGGGAACCGUGAGACAGGUGCUGCAUGGCUGUCGUCAGCUCGUGUUGUGAAAUGUUGGGUUAAGUCCCGCAACGAGCGCAACCCUUAUCCUUUGUUGCCAGCGGUCCGGCCGGGAACUCAAAGGAGACUGCCAGUGAUAAACUGGAGGAAGGUGGGGAUGACGUCAAGUCAUCAUGGCCCUUACGACCAGGGCUACACACGUGCUACAAUGGCGCAUACAAAGAGAAGCGACCUCGCGAGAGCAAGCGGACCUCAUAAAGUGCGUCGUAGUCCGGAUUGGAGUCUGCAACUCGACUCCAUGAAGUCGGAAUCGCUAGUAAUCGUGGAUCAGAAUGCCACGGUGAAUACGUUCCCGGGCCUUGUACACACCGCCCGUCACACCAUGGGAGUGGGUUGCAAAAGAAGUAGGUAGCUUAACCUUCGGGAGGGCGCUUACCACUUUGUGAUUCAUGACUGGGGUGAAGUCGUAACAAGGUAACCGUAGGGGAACCUGCGGUUGGAUCACCUCCUUACCUUAAAGAAGC